UUGGAGGGCAAGUCUGGUGCCAGCAGCCGCGGUAAUUCCAGCUCCAAUAGCGUAUAUUAAAGUUGUUGCAGUUAAAAAGCUCGUAGUUGAAUUUCGGGGUUCUACCGUUGGUCGGGCAAUAGUCUGUACUGGCGUGUAGAAUUUCUACCUUCUGGGGAACUAUCAUGUUAUUUAUUUAGCGUGGUAGGAAACCAGGACCCUUACCUUGAAAAAAUUAGAGUGUUCAAAGCAGGCUUACGUCUGAAUACAUUAGCAUGGAAUAAUAAAAUAGGACGGUGGUCCUGUUUUG
RNAcentral lists this ribosomal RNA (289 nucleotides) under uncultured Gigaspora. RNAcentral's name for it is "partial 18S ribosomal RNA". It matches the Rfam family "Eukaryotic small subunit ribosomal RNA", at positions 548 to 843 of the family's 1831-position model. Lineage: Eukaryota; Fungi; Glomeromycota; Glomeromycetes; Diversisporales; Gigasporaceae. The record is from RNAcentral.